This 499-nucleotide ribosomal RNA is filed under the name uncultured bacterium. RNAcentral's name for it is "partial 16S ribosomal RNA". It matches the Rfam family "Bacterial small subunit ribosomal RNA", at positions 30 to 523 of the family's 1533-position model. The record is from RNAcentral.
AUUGAACGCUGGCGGCAUGCCUUACACAUGCAAGUCGAACGGUAACAGGUCUUCGGAUGCUGACGAGUGGCGAACGGGUGAGUAAUACAUCGGAACGUGCCUAGUAGUGGGGGAUAACUACUCGAAAGAGUGGCUAAUACCGCAUGAGAUCUACGGAUGAAAGCAGGGGAUCGCAAGACCUUGUGCUACUAGAGCGGCCGAUGGCAGAUUAGGUAGUUGGUGGGAUAAAAGCUUACCAAGCCGACGAUCUGUAGCUGGUCUGAGAGGACGAUCGGCCACACUGGGACUGAGAAACGGCCCAGACUCCUACGGGAGGCAGCAGUGGGGAAUUUUGGACAAUGGGCGCAAGCCUGAUCCAGCAAUGCCGCGUGCAGGAUGAAGGCCUUCGGGUUGUAAACUGCUUUUGUACGGAACGAAAAGCCCUGGGUUAAUACCCUAGGGGUCAUGACGGUACCGUAAGAAUAAGCACCGGCUAACUACGUGCCAGCCGCCGCGGUAA